AUAUCGACAAAAGUAUCGAUAUUAUCGAAACAGUAGCCAACCGGAAAUGCACGUUACUGCGUCGGUAAAUUUUCGGUUGAAAAUUCGCGGUAGUAGCGAAUAGAGGGCGACUGCAUUCGGUGGUACGCGGUGCAGCAUCCUAACAAAAUGACGUUUCUGUCAUUUAGAAAGUACUUUUAUUUAUUGUUAAUUGUGCAUUUAUCGAAGUUCUAGUGAGUGUAAACCAACAACAUCUUAAUAAGCUGUAAUUACUGUUCGUCCAAUGUCGGACGACGAGAAGGAAGAAAAACCGUUCGCGGUGGAGCGCGCGAAGAGCGGUCGCGCGAAAUGCAAAAAAUGCAAGUGUCCCAUAGAGAAAGACACGGUGAGGAUCGCGAAGCUGAUGGCGAAUCCGUUCGCCGAGGGGAAGAUGAAAGCGUGGCACCAUCUGAGCUGUCUCUUCGAGGUGUUCGCGAAACAGAGGGCCACCACGAAGAGGAUAGAGGAUCCCGAAGAAGACGUAAGCGGGUGGGAGGAGUUAGACGAAGAGGACAAGAAGACUGUUCUUCAGAAGCUCGAGGAGUUUGAGAAUUCAUGUCCUUUUAAGACUCCGAAGAACAAAAAGGAUCAACCACCGAAGAAACGCAAAGCAACAGGUGAUUCUGACUCACCACCUAAGAGGAAGUCGAAGAAUCCUAAGGGCGCGUCGACAUCCAACGAAGAAGCUAAGGAAGACGUCUUGAAAUCGAGGAGUUCGAAAGAUGACGCCUUUCUGGAGUUUCAACGACUUUGUGAUCAUUUGGCGAAGGUUGAUGCGUACACGGAGAAGACUGCUGUUGUUAGGAAGCUGCUGACCAAAGGAUCCGAAGGGGAUGGUUUCAAGAGCGACCGGAAGCUGUGGUGUAGGAUGCUGCUCCCAGGCGUCGCAAAGAGGAUCUAUAACCUUCAAAGCAAGCAGUUGGUGAAACUCUUUGCCCGCCUACUGCUGCAAGAUGAAGACGACAUGCUGGAACAUUUGGAACAGGGAGACAUUGCCGAAACGAUACGAACGUUCUUCGAGACGAGUGUAGCUGUUAAACCGGCUGAGAAAAGUGUUCUCACCAUGCAAGAGGUGGAUCAGUUCCUGGAGAGGUUAUCCUUUCUCACCAGGGAGGAAGAUCAGAUCAAUCACUUCAAAUCGAUCAUUUCCAGGUGUACAACGAACGACCUGAAAAUGAUUAUACGUCUGAUAAAGCACGACCUGAGGAUAAACGCAGGUCCGAAGCACGUUUUAUCAGCGAUUCAUGAGCAAGCCUACGAAGCUUUCCAGGUAUCCAGAGACCUGGACAGUGUUGUGGAACGAUUUUCGCAGGCUCCUUCUGGAUCUAAACUCGGAAAAGUAUCUUCUGGUUCUUCUGGAGGUGGUAAAGUCGCUCUGUCACUGAUGACACCUGUUUUACCGAUGCUGGCUGAAGCUUGUAAAUCUGUGGAGAUGGCGAUGAAAAAAUGCUCGAGUGGCAUGUUGUCGGAGGUGAAAUACGACGGAGAACGUGUACAGGUGCAUAAAAGAGGCAAUGAGUUUCGAUAUUUUAGCAGGUCUUUGAAACCUGUGCUUCCUCACAAGGUGAAUCAUUUCAAGGAUUAUAUUCCGAAAGCUUUCCCAGACGGCGAUGAUCUUAUUUUAGAUGCUGAAGUGUUGAUGAUCGAUACAAAUACUGGUCAACCCUUACCUUUCGGUACUUUAGGUAUCCACAAGAAAGCGGAGUUCAAAGAUGCCAACGUUUGCCUAUUUGUAUUUGACUGUAUUUACUAUAAUGGGGAUGUCUUACUACACAAGAGUAUGAUGGAGCGGAGGAAGAUCUUAGAGGAAAGGAUGACGGAGAUACCUAACAGGAUUAUGCUCUCAGAAGUCCAGGAAGUUCGUCGUCCACAAGAUUUAGCAAAGAUGAUUGCCAAAGUUCUCAGCAUGGGUUUAGAAGGAUUGGUCUUGAAGGAUGUUACUGGUAAAUACGAGCCAGGCAAGAGGCACUGGCUGAAGGUAAAAAAGGACUACUUGUUUGACGGCGCUAUGGCCGAUACUGCGGAUCUCGUUGUGCUCGGUGCAUGGUACGGCACAGGAAACAGAGGUGGUAUGAUGUCCAUCUUCCUCAUGGGUUGCUACGAUGAGGACCAAGGGAACUGGGUAACAGUAACCAAGGUACACACAGGACAUGACGAUGCCACCCUGACCAUGCUACAGGAUGAAUUGGACAUGAUCAAAAUAGCCAAAGAUCCUAACAAAGUGCCAAAGUGGUUGCGAGCCAACAAACCUAUGAUCCCUGAUUUUGUGGCUAGAGAUCCAAAGAAACAACCGGUAUGGGAAAUCACAGGAGCAGAGUUUACUAACCAAGGGGUUCAUACAGCUGACGGUAUCAGUAUAAGAUUCCCCAGGGUAACCAAGAUCCGUCGCGACAAGGAUUGGUCCAGUGCGACUACCCUGAACGAAUUGCGACGUCUUUUCAAGACCAGCUCUGAAUCGAUUGACUUCAGCCUUCUCCUAUCAUCUGAUUAUAAGAUCAAACAAGAAGCCGACAGUGAAAGUAAACCAACUACCGACAGAAAGUCUAAGUCCCCCACAAAAAGAAACGGUGAAUUAAAAAUCUUCAGUCGCUCCCCGAGCACCAGCACAGAAAAUAGUCCCAGUUGCAGUAAAACAAAGCAAACUCUUGAAGAAGUGAAAGUGAAAGUCGAAGAGGAAGACCCCGCAGAGUUCUACGCGUUCAUCAACAAAGAUUACAUAGAGUACUCUGUGGAUGGAACUCCUCUGAACUGGAUCGAAGGUCGAAAGCCACAGCAGGGUCUGCCGUCGAACGCCAAACCUCUGCGGGAUCUUACAGAUGACGAAGUGAAGUCCAAAUCGAUACUGAAAGGCGUUCCAGUCAGUCUGGCGUCGAGCUUCAGGAAGAAGAAGAGGAAGGAGGCUCAGAGGUUACUAAAGACGUAUCCUUCUAUUUCCAACGCAUUUUAUUUUAGCAACUCAAUGUAAUUAUCGUUCGACGUUACACAACGAUUUCUGGGUACAUCUCGAGAGAACCUGCCAGAGGGAGAACCGUGGAGUGUCAGCAAGCAGUUCGUAGAAAAUGGAGCACUUUCUCCCUCGAGGCGGAUUUGCAGAAGACGACUAGCUUAACGACCGUGUGGCGACCAGUCUCGGGGCGAGGGUGUUGGAGGAUGUUGAACGGAGCGGGGCGAUGUACGUGGUUCAUCCUUGCAGGGGGAUACCGUCGUCGGAGGUUCAG
This 3236-nucleotide unclassified non-coding RNA is filed under the name Megachile rotundata (alfalfa leafcutting bee). RNAcentral's name for it is "dNA ligase 3, transcript variant X1". The record is from RNAcentral. Lineage: Eukaryota; Metazoa; Arthropoda; Insecta; Hymenoptera; Megachilidae.